AUAAAAAGGGGAGCUGCCAGGCGGCUGAGAGGGAGCGUGCGCUCCGACCCGUAACCUGAUCCGGAUAAUGCCGGCGUAGGGACAUACUUUUUU
Molecule: non-coding RNA, 93 nt
Filed under: bovine gut metagenome
Description: TPP riboswitch (THI element)
Rfam family: TPP riboswitch aptamer (THI element)
About the family: Vitamin B(1) in its active form thiamin pyrophosphate (TPP) is an essential coenzyme that is synthesised by coupling of pyrimidine and thiazole moieties in bacteria. The previously detected thiamin-regulatory element, thi box was extended, resulting in a new, highly conserved RNA secondary structure, the THI element, which is widely distributed in eubacteria and also occurs in some archaea. Analysis of operon structures identified a large number of new candidate thiamin-regulated genes, mostly transporters, in various prokaryotic organisms.
Source: RNAcentral